CCUGGUGGUUAUUGCGAAGAUUCCCUACCCGAUACCAUUCCGAACUCGGAAGUAAAAGUCUUCAGCGCCGAUGGUACUUCGUCUUAAGGCGUGGGAGAGUAGGUCGCCGCCAGGU
Molecule: ribosomal RNA, 115 nt
Filed under: Rickettsiales bacterium TMED251
Lineage: Bacteria; Pseudomonadati; Pseudomonadota; Alphaproteobacteria; Rickettsiales
Source: RNAcentral